This 499-nucleotide ribosomal RNA is filed under the name uncultured Rikenellaceae bacterium. RNAcentral describes it as "bacterial SSU rRNA". It matches the Rfam family "Bacterial small subunit ribosomal RNA", at positions 903 to 1382 of the family's 1533-position model. Lineage: Bacteria; Pseudomonadati; Bacteroidota; Bacteroidia; Bacteroidales; Rikenellaceae. The record is from RNAcentral.
GCCCGCUCAGAAACUACAAAUAGAAUUAGACGGGGGCCCGGCACAAGCGGAGGAACAUGUGGUUUAAUUCGAUGAUACGCGAGGAACCUUACCUGGGCUAGAACGCAUUCGGAAUCAGGCCGAAAGGCCUGCGCCAGCGAUGGCCGCUUGCGAGGUGCUGCAUGGUUGUCGUCAGCUCGUGCCGUGAGGUGUCGGGUUAAGUCCCAUAACGAGCGCAACCCCUACUGCUAGUUGCCAGCGGGUCAUGCCGGGGACUCUAGCGGAACUGCCAGCGUAAACUGCGAGGAAGGUGGGGAUGACGUCAAAUCAGCACGGCCCUUACGUCCAGGGCUACACACGUGUUACAAUGGCCGGUACAGAGGGCAGCCACCCCGCGAGGGGGCGCGAAUCCCGAAAGCCGGUCCCAGUUCGGAUCGGAGUCUGCAACCCGACUCCGUGAAGCUGGAUUCGCUAGUAAUCGCGCAUCAGCCACGGCGCGGUGAAUACGUUCCCGGGCCUU